This 492-nucleotide ribosomal RNA is filed under the name uncultured bacterium. RNAcentral describes it as "partial 16S ribosomal RNA". It matches the Rfam family "Bacterial small subunit ribosomal RNA", at positions 29 to 507 of the family's 1533-position model. The record is from RNAcentral.
AGUGAACGCUGGCGGUAGGCCUAACACAUGCAAGUCGAACGGCAGCACAGUAAGAGCUUGCUCUUACGGGUGGCGAGUGGCGGACGGGUGAGGAAUACAUCGGAAUCUACUUUUUCGUGGUGGCUAACGUAGGGAAACUUACGUUCAUACCGAAUACGACCUACGGGUGAAAGCAGGGGAUCUUCGGACCUUGCUCGAUUGAAUUAGCCGAUGCCGGAUUAGCUAGUUGGCGGGGUAAAGGCCCACCAAGGCGACGAUCCGUAGCUGGUCUGAGAGGAUGAUCAGCCACACUGGAACUGAGACACGGUCCAGACUCCUACGGGAGGCAGCAGUAGGGAAUAUUGGACAAUGGGCGCAAGCCUGAUCCAGCCAUACCGCGUGGGUGAAGAAGGCCUUCGGGUUGUAAAGCCCUUUUGUUGGGAAAGAAAAGCAGCAGGUUAAUACCCCGCUGUUCUGACGGUACCCAAAGAAUAAGCACCGGCUAACUUCGUG